Molecule: long non-coding RNA, 641 nt
Filed under: Musa acuminata (dwarf banana)
Lineage: Eukaryota; Viridiplantae; Streptophyta; Magnoliopsida; Zingiberales; Musaceae
Description: long non-coding RNA (MACU_LNC004541)
Source: RNAcentral
GACAUGGCGAUCCAUAGUUCUUCGGUCUCCUCCUCCCGCUGCAGCGCCCGUCAGCUCAUCGGAGGUGGACGAACAGUUGCCGGAGAACGCGUUGGAGAGGAAGCAGCCGUCUAGGGUUUUCUCUUACGUUGCCUUAUUCUUUGUUUGUCUAACGUAAUGUUGCCUUCUUUCCUCUUCGAAUCGCGUCUUUUUCUGUCGGAUUUGUUCGGAGUCUCUGCGAUUUGUCGCCGUUCAAUGUGUCUGAAUCAAUUUCGUAGGUUUCGUUCCUUUUUUGCGGGAAAUUUCUAGCUAACCCUUUGGGUUCACGUAUUUGUGUUUAUGGAUCAUGUGAUCGGGCUUCAUGAUCGUUUCACCGUGUCAAGUUCGAACAAUCGAAUGCAUCGCUCCAUUUCUGGAUCUCAUCUUUCCGAUCUGAAGAAAAAGAAUUUUGAUUUUGGUGUGUUUUGAUGCCACGCUAAUGUCGGCUUUUUGACAUGCUUGCUUAUCAUCGCGGACCUCAGCGCAAGGAUCGUACCCGAGGAUCCGACAGAAUGCAAGGCAACAUGUACGGGAGUCCACUUCCACUCCGUAUGUCCGAAUCGAAUCGGAGGAUAAUCGAGGCAGGCGAUCCAACCAAGCGGCUAUAUCAAGUGUGGAAAGGG